This is a non-coding RNA of Delphinella strobiligena, 92 nucleotides long. NCBI's taxonomy places the organism in Eukaryota, Fungi, Ascomycota, Dothideomycetes, Dothideales, Dothioraceae. The record is from the annotation of a GenBank genome assembly.
GGGGGUAUGGUCUAGGGGUAUGAUUCACCCUUCGCAUUGCAUUGUUAAUGACGAAUUGGGUGGGGUCCGGGGUUCAAAUCCCCGUGCCUCCA